This 253-nucleotide ribosomal RNA is filed under the name uncultured prokaryote. RNAcentral's name for it is "partial 16S ribosomal RNA". It matches the Rfam family "Bacterial small subunit ribosomal RNA", at positions 525 to 777 of the family's 1533-position model. The record is from RNAcentral.
ACAGAGGUCCCAAGCGUUGUUCGGAUUCACUGGGCGUAAAGGGUGCGCAGGUGGGUUUGCAAGUUCGAUGUGAAAGCCCCGGGCUUAACCCGGGAAUGGCAUUGGAUACUGCAGAUCUGGAGGAUCGGAGGGGGGACUGGAAUUCUUGGUGUAGCAGUGAAAUGCGUAGAUAUCAAGAGGAACACCAGUGGCGAAGGCGAGUCCCUGGACGAUACCUGACACUGAGGCACGAAAGCUAGGGGAGCAAACAGGA